GACGAACGCUGGCGGCGUGCCUAAUACAUGCAAGUUGAGCGAUGAAGAUUGGUGCUUGCACCAAUUUGAAGAGCAGCGAACGGGUGAGUAACGCGUGGGGAAUCUGCCUUUGAGCGGGGGACAACAUUUGGAAACGAAUGCUAAUACCGCAUAACAACUUUAAACAUAAGUUUUAAGUUUGAAAGAUGCAAUUGCAUCACUCAAAGAUGAUCCCGCGUUGUAUUAGCUAGUUGGUGAGGUAAAGGCUCACCAAGGCGAUGAUACAUAGCCGACCUGAGAAGGUGAUCGGCCACAUUGGGACUGAGACACGGCCCAAACUCCUACGGGAGGCAGCAGUAGGGAAUCUUCGGCAAGGGACGAAAGUCUGGCCGAGCAACGCCGCGUGAGUGAAGAAGGUUGUCGGAUCGUAAAACUCUGUUGGUAGAGAAGAACGUUGGUGAGAGUGGAAAGCUCAUCAAGUGACGGUAACUACCCAGAAAGGGACGGCUAACUACGUG
This 497-nucleotide ribosomal RNA is filed under the name uncultured bacterium. Its description in RNAcentral is "partial 16S ribosomal RNA". It matches the Rfam family "Bacterial small subunit ribosomal RNA", at positions 28 to 507 of the family's 1533-position model. The record is from RNAcentral.